UACGGAGGGGGCUAGCGUUGUUCGGAAUUACUGGGCGUAAAGCGCACGUAGGCGGAUACUUAAGUCAGGGGUGAAAUCCCGGGGCCCAACCCCGGAACUGCCUUUGAUACUGGGUGUCUGGAGGUCGAGAGAGGUGAGUGGAAUUCCGAGUGUAGAGGUGAAAUUCGUAGAUAUUCGGAGGAACACCAGUGGCGAAGGCGGCUCACUGGCUCGAUACUGACGCUGAGGUGCGAAAGCGUGGGGAGCAAACAGG
Molecule: ribosomal RNA, 253 nt
Filed under: uncultured bacterium
Lineage: Bacteria
Description: partial 16S ribosomal RNA
Rfam family: Bacterial small subunit ribosomal RNA
Source: RNAcentral